AGUCAUUUGACGAGUCCCAAAUAGGACGAAACGCGCGUCCUGGAU
Molecule: non-coding RNA, 45 nt
Filed under: Schistosoma haematobium
Lineage: Eukaryota; Metazoa; Platyhelminthes; Trematoda; Strigeidida; Schistosomatidae
Source: RNAcentral